RNAcentral lists this ribosomal RNA (253 nucleotides) under uncultured bacterium. Its description in RNAcentral is "partial 16S ribosomal RNA". It matches the Rfam family "Bacterial small subunit ribosomal RNA", at positions 524 to 776 of the family's 1533-position model. The record is from RNAcentral.
UACGUAGGAUCCAAGCGUUGUCCGGAUUUACUGGGUGUAAAGGGUGCGCAGGCGGACUUGUUAGUCAGAGGUGAAAUCUCACGGCUCAACCGUGAAACUGCCUUUGAUACUGCAGGUCUUGAAUUGGGGAGAGAGUUGUGGAAUUCCGAGUGUAGCAGUGAAAUGUGUAGAUAUUGGGAGGAACACCAGUGGCGAAGGCGACUGCCUGGACGGCACCUGACGCUGAGGCGCGAAAGCUAGGGGAGCAAACGGG